UGGUGAACAUAGCAAGCGUGAACCACCCGAUCCCAUCCCGAACUCGGAAGUGAAACCGCUUAGCGCCGAUGAUAGUGUGGCAGGUUGCCAUGUGAAAGUAGGUCAUCGCCAAGCU
This 115-nucleotide ribosomal RNA is filed under the name Methylomonas koyamae. The record is from RNAcentral. Lineage: Bacteria; Pseudomonadati; Pseudomonadota; Gammaproteobacteria; Methylococcales; Methylococcaceae.